RNAcentral lists this long non-coding RNA (347 nucleotides) under Rattus norvegicus (Norway rat). Its description in RNAcentral is "long non-coding RNA NONRATT023433". Lineage: Eukaryota; Metazoa; Chordata; Mammalia; Rodentia; Muridae. The record is from RNAcentral.
GAUGUUUCAGAUCCCAACUCCAGUCUCUCUUUUCCAUCUAAUCACCCAACAGAAGAAACAAAGACUCCGCCUGAGGGCAGCAAGUGCCGUAAGCUGUGGACCUGGAAGGCUGAGGCCAUCUGAGCAGUCCUGGCGGGCAGGAGCGGUGGUGGCUGCGGAUGGUGUAAUGGAGACGGGCAAUGUUUCAACAGCUCCUGAAGCUCCAGGUUCCUUCCAGUCCCAACAACCUCUUCAUCAUGUUUGCAACUGGCCUUGGGACCAUUUGGUGUUAAUUACAGCAACCCAGGCUUCUCUGUGUGAAGGAAAUCGUCCCUCAUUUCUCUCAUUAAAGUAAAAUAUGACCCGUU